CCUACGGGUGGCAGCAGUGAGGAAUAUUGGUCAAUGGGCGCGAGCCUGAACCAGCCAAGUCGCGUGAGGGAUGACUGCCCUACGGGUUGUAAACUUCUUUUAUCAAGGAAUAAAACGAGGCACGUGUGCCUUUUUGCAUGUACUUUAUGAAUAAGGAUCGGCUAACUCCGUGCCAGCAGCCGCGGUAAUACGGAGGAUCCGAGCGUUAUCCGGAUUUAUUGGGUUUAAAGGGAGCGUAGAUGGGUAGUUAAGUCAGUUGUGAAAGUUUGCGGGUCAACCGUAAAAUUGCAAUUGAUACUGGCAGUCUUGAGUACAGUUGAGGUAGGCGGAAUUCGUGGUGUAGCGGUGAAAUGCUUAGAUAUCACGAAGAACCCCGAUUGCUAAGGCAGCUUACUAGCCUGUAACUGACGUUGAUGCUCGAAAGUGUGGGUAUCAAACAGGAUUAGAUACCCUUGUAGUC
RNAcentral lists this ribosomal RNA (460 nucleotides) under uncultured bacterium. RNAcentral describes it as "partial 16S ribosomal RNA". It matches the Rfam family "Bacterial small subunit ribosomal RNA", at positions 338 to 795 of the family's 1533-position model. The record is from RNAcentral.